GACGGUCGACGGUCAGCCCCAAAUCAUGGAGUCGAUUCCUGGGCUGGGCAGACCAGAAAAUUCUCCAACUGAAGCCCAAUGCAUUCGGCCUGUUGUGAUGAAACUGGCCCAAACUGCCCACAUAUCAUCUUCAUUUAAACAAACAACUUCUAAGAACAAAUCAGGCUAUUCAAGCGUGUUUAAUAAUCUGUUAUCUUGGAAAACCGAAAUGCAUUUAAUUACCAGGUUUCAUUCAACACAAACAUCUAAUACAAGGCACCAAUUCGUAAUUCCUCAUUUGGUUCCUAUUGUUUCAAUAAAUCCCAAUCAACCAAACUUGUUACCAAAUACUUAUAUACUAAACUAUGACCAAAUGUAAUAUCACCAGUCCAAAACAAUUUCAGCAGUCCAUAACAAUUUCAGCAGUCCACAGUACACAUUCAAUCCAUAUCAGUUAGCAAUAAUCCUAAUUUAGCAAGUCAUAAUACAAUGUUCAAUCACUUUAAACCAAACAAUCACAUCAACUGAAUCUAAAUCUAGGAUGAAACUUCAUUUAACUCCAACUUAGAGGUUACACUAGGGGGUUUUUGAGACAUGUACCUGGAUAUGAAAUGAACAAAGAGAAUGAAGAGAGAGUCAGCCCCAGCAAAUGCAACAGUAGCGGCACAAACAACUUUCAACAAUAGCAAAUCGCCACCAGCCCCAACAGCUUAAUUCCACAACCCAGAAUUGAUUCGAAGAAAUCCUAGUAUUAAAAUAGACCAAACAAACAAAAAACAAACCUAGAAUAUCCUUGAAGCUUUCAAUAGACCACAAACUCAACUGGACUAGCUUGACUGAUCUCAAAUUCACUCAAAAAUGCCUAGACAGACAUCAAAUCUAAAUUAGACCCGAUUCUGAAAUCAUCAGAUGAUAAAACAGCCUAAAAUAGUCCCACUUAAACCCAAAUUCAGUCGAAAUCAAUCAAUCACACCUCUGAAAUUUCCUGCUUCUAAGUAUUGAUCUAGGAACUCCUAUAUUAGAUCGUGAACUACAUAAAUGAAAGCCAACAUACACCAAUAACUUGAAAUUAAACUGAAAUACUAAUGGAACAGUAACCUUUUUUUUCUUUUUUAUCAGAUCUUCUAUUGCUUUUGAUUUUGCAGUUUUCUGGGAUUUUCUAUUGUUUUUUUUUUUGGAUUUUUCUUUUUUUGAUUUGAACUUAAAAGACUGAAUCUGAAACUAAAAAAAUGAAGGAAAGAGUUUUUAUGUGUGAUUAUUAGGGCUGAAGAGUUCCCCUUUGUUAAAGUACUAUUCAAUGCUUUUUAUAGGUAAAAUAUAGGGAAACCUCAGAUUUUUAAUUUGCACUUUCAUCCCCUGCUUAUUUACAGCUUGGUCCCUUAAUUUUUAAAUUGAUCACCAAGUAAAACUUUUAAAAACUAAAUCUGCAUUUAUACCCUACUGUAGAAGCCUCUAGGAUACUCUUUUAACCCCAAAAAUACUAUACUACUCUUAACCCUACCUUGCAAUUACUAUUUUUCAAGAUACUACCCUUUUCCCAUGCCCAAACUACCCUUCCAACAGUCUGAAAAUUACAGACUAAAGCUAACCGAACCCAAUCUCUCACCCUAGUUAUGAUUCAACUAAAGUUAACUAGAAUCAACUAUUCCCAAUCAAUCUAACCUACUAAUUAGCACUAACCAUGACUGAAAAUACACUAAUACUUAACUGAAGCUAAACCAAAACGAGUUUCAAAUUUAACUUAUAACAAACAGGGUAAAAUGAAAGUCUAAUUACCCCAACGACUAAUUAACACUUAACAAAUGAGCAUUCAAAUUAUUCCAUAAUCAAAAUUGAACCAGAAUGAAAAUCAAUCUAAAAUGAAUUAAACCUAAACAUGGAUAACAAAUCAAAGAAGAAGAAUUUAUGCUAAAAUUUGAUUGAAAAACUACAACUAUGCUUAAUUGAAUAAACAAAUUAAAUUAACUAAAAUAGGAACCAAAGGACAAACAUAUAGAAAACUUACUGCUAACCAAUCUUCAAAGAAAUUCUGAAAACAACUUUGAGUUAAUAUUAUAGGUCUAUUUCAUAAGCAAUAGACCUAUGACAUUAAUUCGGAGUUGCUCGUCCUGAAAAAUCAACAAAGCAGUCGACCAUGCACGAACCCUAGAUGUGGAAUUGAAGGCGACAUGGGGGGAUUCGAAGUAAAAUAACCCUAGACUCGAGGUGAGGAAGAUCAAUAGACCAUCUGGUAUCAAUUUGGGAUUGUUUGGACGAAUUUGUGCCUUGGCUGGAAUUUUCAAACAAAUGUUUGAGGAUACUGGGCUUGAUUCGAGGGAAACUGUUAGCAUAUAUGGAAAGGGAAGGUUAAGGAGAAUGAGGGGUGUAAUUUUGGUGGUGAUUGGAGGCGGUGCCGCCACUGGUGGGAGUGAGGAUUUUAGGGUGGCGUUCUAGGGUUCUUCAGGAGAGGGGUCUGUGAAGAAGACGAGUAUGGGGUUGGAGGGGCGCUCGGACACUACUAUGUACAUGAACCCAAG
RNAcentral lists this long non-coding RNA (2495 nucleotides) under Nicotiana benthamiana. RNAcentral's name for it is "long non-coding RNA (NBEN_LNC033780)". Lineage: Eukaryota; Viridiplantae; Streptophyta; Magnoliopsida; Solanales; Solanaceae. The record is from RNAcentral.